ACUAGAGUAUAGAGAGAAGUGGAAUUUCAGGUGUAGCGGUGAAUGCGUAGAUAUCUGAAGGAACAUCAAUGGCGAAGGCAGCUUUCUGGGACUUAAUACUGACACUGAGGUACGAAAGCGUGGGUAGCAAACAGGAUUAGAUACCCUGGUAGUCCACGCCGUAAACGAUGAUAACUAGCCGUUGGGAGGAUUUACCUCUUAGUGGCGAAGCUAACGCGUUAAGUUAUCCGCCUGGGGAGUACGGCCGCAAGGUUAAAACUCAAAGGAAUUGACGGGGAUCCGCACAAGCGGUGGAGCAUGUGGUUUAAUUCGAUGCAACGCGAAGAACCUUACCUGGUCUUGACAUACAGAGAACUUUCUAGAGAUAGAUUGGUGCCUUCGGGAACUCUGAUACAGGUGCUGCAUGGCUGUCGUCAGCUCGUGUCGUGAGAUGUUGGGUUAAGUCCCGUAACGAGCGCAACCCUUAUCCUUAUUUGCCAGCACAUCAUGGUGGGAACUAUAGGGAGACUGCCGGUGAUAAACCGGAGGAAGGCGGGGACGACGUCAAGUCAUCAUGGCCCUUACGACCAGGGCUACACACGUGCUACAAUGGGAAGGACAAAGGGUUGCUAAGCCGCGAGGUGGUGCUAAUCUCAUAAACCUUUUCGUAGUCCGGAUCGGAGUCUGCAACUCGACUCCGUGAAGUCGGAAUCGAUAGUUUC
RNAcentral lists this ribosomal RNA (701 nucleotides) under uncultured bacterium. Its description in RNAcentral is "bacterial SSU rRNA". It matches the Rfam family "Bacterial small subunit ribosomal RNA", at positions 640 to 1342 of the family's 1533-position model. The record is from RNAcentral.